GGGUUGUACUGGAGGUUCUCAACAAGUGGUAUUAGAGCCCGAUUAUGUGGAGGAAAGAAGAAGAUGUCGAAGAUCAAGUUCAGCCCGAUUUCUGUAGCGUCCAGGUUUUUCCUUGUUUUCCUUCCUGUUGCUUCUUUGGUUAUGGUGAUCUCUCGAUUAGGUAGAGGGUUUUGACACAAGGAAGGGUUGGAAAAAGGUGGAGGAGAUAUGUUUCAGAUAUGAUCCUGAUUUUGGGGUGUGAGGCAUGGUAUUGCAGAAGGGAUAGGGCUGGCAGUUUGUUUGAAGGUUGAGAUGGCUUCAAGUGGUUUUAAGAUAGAGUUUGAGAACUUCGAUGGUAAGAAAAACUUCAUCUUGUGGCAGCAAUGGGUGAAUGACUUGUUAGUGCAGUAGCGGAUCUAUAAGGUCUUGAGAAGAGAGAGAUCGAAAAAUAUCAGUAC
This 437-nucleotide long non-coding RNA is filed under the name Elaeis guineensis (African oil palm). Its description in RNAcentral is "long non-coding RNA (EGUI_LNC046171)". The record is from RNAcentral. Lineage: Eukaryota; Viridiplantae; Streptophyta; Magnoliopsida; Arecales; Arecaceae.